AACUGAUACUACCUGCGGGAACCUGCGGAGGGAUCAUUAAUGAAUAACUUGGACAGGUUGCUGCUGGCUCUCCGGGGCAUGUGCACGCCUGUCGUUAGUUUUCAAACCCCUGUGCACCAUUUGUAGACUGGAAACAUCUCUCGAGGAAAUAAACUCGGAUUUUGAGGACUGCUGUGCGUCAAAGCCAGCUGUUUUCGUGUUUCUAGUCUAUGUUUUUAUUUUACAUACCCCAAAUGCAAG
Molecule: unclassified non-coding RNA, 240 nt
Filed under: soil metagenome
Description: partial contains 5.8S ribosomal RNA, internal transcribed spacer 2, and large subunit ribosomal RNA
Source: RNAcentral